CUUGAACUACUAUAAUUUUAGUUAGUCAAAGUUUUUUUCCUUGUCAUAAUCAUUAUGGUUUGAAAAAACCCAUCCUGUUUUUUUUUUUUUUUAAACAUGCAGACCGGAUUAACCUAACUAAUUGUAAACCACCUAGACCAGCCCCAAAUCAAUUCAAAUCGAUUAAACCACACAUAACAUAACCAGCAGAAGACUUAAGCACCAUCCAUGAAAAUAAUUCCAUUAAACCAACAAAUUCAACAAAACAUUAUUCCAGAAACAUAAGCACCCUAACAUGCUUUUAAAUUCCGUUCUAACACCCUAACAAAUCCAACAAUAAUCUAA
This 324-nucleotide long non-coding RNA is filed under the name Capsella rubella. RNAcentral describes it as "long non-coding RNA (CRUB_LNC003788)". Lineage: Eukaryota; Viridiplantae; Streptophyta; Magnoliopsida; Brassicales; Brassicaceae. The record is from RNAcentral.